AUUGAACGCUGGCGGCAUGCCUUACACAUGCAAGUCGAACGGCAGCACGGGAGCAAUCCUGGUGGCGAGUGGCGAACGGGUGAGUAAUAUAUCGGAACGUGCCCAGUCGUGGGGAUAACGUAGCGAAAGCUACGCUAAUACCGCAUACGAUCUAUGGAUGAAAGCGGGGGAUCGCAAGACCUCGCGCGAUUGGAGCGGCCGAUAUCAGAUUAGGUAGUUGGUGAGGUAAAGGCUCACCAAGCCGACGAUCUGUAGCUGGUCUGAGAGGACGACCAGCCACACUGGGACUGAGACACGGCCCAGACUCCUACGGGAGGCAGCAGUGGGGGAAUUUUGGACAAUGGGCGGCAAGCCUGAUCCAGCAAUGCCGCGUGCGGGAUGAAGGCCUCGGUGUAAGUACGUACUUUACCCGUUACGUACGUAGA
RNAcentral lists this ribosomal RNA (425 nucleotides) under uncultured bacterium. RNAcentral's name for it is "bacterial SSU rRNA". It matches the Rfam family "Bacterial small subunit ribosomal RNA", at positions 30 to 445 of the family's 1533-position model. The record is from RNAcentral.